RNAcentral lists this ribosomal RNA (411 nucleotides) under Leptogaster stackelbergi. RNAcentral's name for it is "partial small subunit ribosomal RNA". Lineage: Eukaryota; Metazoa; Arthropoda; Insecta; Diptera; Asilidae. The record is from RNAcentral.
UUUUAUAAACUGAAUCUCGUAAAUUAAAAUGAUAAACUAGGAUUAGAUACCCUAUUAUUUUUAAUGAAUUUAAAAAAUAAAGGUAGUACUAGUUAAUUUCUUGAAACUUAAAAAAUUAGGCGGUAUUAUAGUCCUUUUAGAGGAACCUGUUCUGUAAUCGAUAAUCCACGUUAGAUUUUACUUAAAUUUGUUUAGUUUGUAUACCGCCGUUAUUAAAUCUUUGAUAAGAAUGUAAAUUUUUAAUUAUUUUUAUUAAAAAAUAUAUCAGGUCAAGGUGCAGCAUAUAUUUAAGUAGUAAUGGGUUACAAUAAAUUUAUUUAUAUGGAUUUUUUUAUAAAUAAAUAAAUGAAGGUGGAUUUAAAAGUAAAAUUAAAAAUUAUAUUAANNNNNNNNNNGCUCUAAGAUAUGUAC